ACUCAGGACAAUGCCCCCCACAGCCAUCUUGUGCCUGUUGCCACUGCCCUGAAGCAGCUGAUGUGAGGAGACCCCAUUUCUGCACUCCGUAGUGGUGGUCGUAUGCUGACUGACUUCCUCCAGGCUCCUGUGAUGGCUCCCUGGUCUCCCUUCAGCCUCCACCUUCUGCUGCUGUUCCUGCUGUUGCUGCCCUUGACCAGGGCCCAUCGCUUCUCUGUUCCGAACGCCAGCUUCAACCACCUGGUGCUGG
Molecule: long non-coding RNA, 250 nt
Filed under: Rattus norvegicus (Norway rat)
Lineage: Eukaryota; Metazoa; Chordata; Mammalia; Rodentia; Muridae
Description: long non-coding RNA NONRATT002894
Source: RNAcentral